GAGAGAGGAAGAGCGGCUGCCGGCAGUAUUGCUGAGGAAAGUCCCCUCACUUUCUGGACCGCGGGCACGUGCAAGCGUGCAGGGUGAGAAUCCUGGCUCUGGAACAGAAACGAUACCGCAGCACAGAAAUGCGAUGAUUUCGAAAGGAUGAGGUCAUGUGUAUGCGGAUGGAACGGCGAAUCCCCGCGGGUGCAAGCCAAAAUAGGGCAGAAAGGCAGUCCAGACCUGCCCGAGUCUGGCGCAUAGCUGAAUGCCGCAUAAGCGCGAUAAGGGCUUUGCCCUUGCGCUAACAUAAAGGGGCUUACUCUCCUCACUC
This 316-nucleotide RNase P RNA is filed under the name Candidatus Methanoperedens sp. RNAcentral describes it as "RNase P RNA component". It matches the Rfam family "Archaeal RNase P". Rfam says of the family: Ribonuclease P (RNase P) is a ubiquitous endoribonuclease, found in archaea, bacteria and eukarya as well as chloroplasts and mitochondria. Lineage: Archaea; Methanobacteriati; Methanobacteriota; Methanomicrobia; Methanosarcinales; Candidatus Methanoperedentaceae. The record is from RNAcentral.